AACGAACGCUGGCGGCAUGCCUAACACAUGCAAGUCGAACGAGACCUUCGGGUCUAGUGGCGCACGGGUGCGUAACGCGUGGGAACCUGCCCUUAGGGUCGGAAUAACUCCCCGAAAGGGGUGCUAAUACCGGAUAAUGUCUUCGGACCAAAGAUUUAUCGCCUUUGGAUGGGCCCGCGUUGGAUUAGCUAGUUGGUAGGGUAAAAGCCUACCAAGGCGACGAUCCAUAGCUGGUCUGAGAGAAUGAUCAGCAACACUGGGACUGAGACACGGCCCAGACUCCUACGCGAGGCAGCAGUGGGGAAUAUUGGACAAUGGGCGAAAGCCUGAUCCAGCAAUGCCGCGUGAGUUAUGAAGGCCUUAGGGUUGUAAAGCUCUUUUACCCGGGAUGAUAAUGACAGUACCGGGAGAAUAAGCUCCGGCUAACUCCGUG
RNAcentral lists this ribosomal RNA (433 nucleotides) under uncultured bacterium. RNAcentral describes it as "partial 16S ribosomal RNA". It matches the Rfam family "Bacterial small subunit ribosomal RNA", at positions 29 to 507 of the family's 1533-position model. The record is from RNAcentral.